UCCCUGGUGGUUCAGACAGUAAAGAAGCUGCCUGCAAUGCAGAAGACUCAGGUUUGAUCCCUGGCUUGGGAA
Molecule: non-coding RNA, 72 nt
Organism: Bos taurus (domestic cattle)
Lineage: Eukaryota; Metazoa; Chordata; Mammalia; Artiodactyla; Bovidae
Source: Rfam